This 309-nucleotide unclassified non-coding RNA is filed under the name plant metagenome. RNAcentral's name for it is "partial contains 5.8S ribosomal RNA, internal transcribed spacer 2, and large subunit ribosomal RNA". The stretch from base 1 to 105 matches the Rfam family "5.8S ribosomal RNA", at positions 50 to 154 of the family's 154-position model. The record is from RNAcentral.
GAAAUGCGAUAAGUAGUGUGAAUUGCAGAAUUCAGUGACUCAUCGAAUCUUUGAACGCACAUUGCGCCCCUUGGUAUUCCAUGGGGCAUGCCUGUUCGAGCGUCAUUUGUACCCUCAAGCUCUGCUUGGUGUUGGGUGUUUGUCCCGUCUCCGCGCGUGGACUCGCCCCAAAGUGAUUGGCAGCCGGCGUACUGGUCCCGGAGCGCAGCACAUGUCGCGCAAACGAGUGCCUUGGUACGGCGGCGUCCAUAAGCCCCUCUCUCACGCUCUUGACCUCGGAUCAGGUAGGGAUACCCGCUGAACGUAAGC